AAGCCAGACUCCUACGGGAGGCAGCAGUGGGGAAUAUUGCACAAUGGGGGAAACCCUGAUGCAGCGACGCCGCGUGAGUGAAGAAGUAUUUCGGUAUGUAAAGCUCUAUCAGCAGGGAAGAAAAUGACGGUACCUGACUAAGAAGCCCCGGCUAACUACGUGCCAGCAGCCGCGGUAAUACGUAGGGGGCAAGCGUUAUCCGGAUUUACUGGGUGUAAAGGGAGCGUAGACGGCAUGGCAAGUCAGAUGUGAAAGCCCGGGGCUCAACCCCGGGACUGCAUUUGAAACUGUCAGGCUGGAGUGCAGGAGAGGUAAGUGGAAUUCCUAGUGUAGCGGUGAAAUGCGUAGAUAUUAGGAGGAACACCAGUGGCGAAGGCGGCUUACUGGACUGUAACUGACGUUGAGGCUCGAAAGCGUGGGGAGCAAACAGGAUUAGAUACCCUAGUA
Molecule: ribosomal RNA, 447 nt
Filed under: uncultured bacterium
Lineage: Bacteria
Description: bacterial SSU rRNA
Rfam family: Bacterial small subunit ribosomal RNA
Source: RNAcentral